RNAcentral lists this unclassified non-coding RNA (209 nucleotides) under Hevea brasiliensis (rubber tree). Lineage: Eukaryota; Viridiplantae; Streptophyta; Magnoliopsida; Malpighiales; Euphorbiaceae. The record is from RNAcentral.
AUUAUUGAAUAUAAGGGCCAAUUUUAUGUUGUUGAUAGAUGGGGUACAGUUUCUUGGAUUGAUUCUUCCUUGAAGCUGAUUCAGUAUUCCCCUCCUUUGUUCGGUUGUGGUAGCGGGCAGAAGAAUUUGGUGGAGUCAUGUGGAGAUCUUUAUGUAGUUGAUAGAUAUCUGGAUGGAGAAAGGAGAACAUGGAAUGAUUAUGAGAAUCU